RNAcentral lists this small nuclear RNA (169 nucleotides) under Suricata suricatta (meerkat). RNAcentral describes it as "U2 spliceosomal RNA (ENSSSUG00005005730.1)". It matches the Rfam family "U2 spliceosomal RNA". Rfam says of the family: U2 is a small nuclear RNA (snRNA) component of the spliceosome (involved in pre-mRNA splicing). Complementary binding between U2 snRNA (in an area lying towards the 5' end but 3' to hairpin I) and the branchpoint sequence (BPS) of the intron results the bulging out of an unpaired adenosine, on the BPS, which initiates a nucleophilic attack at the intronic 5' splice site, thus starting the first of two transesterification reactions that mediate splicing. The record is from Rfam by way of RNAcentral. Lineage: Eukaryota; Metazoa; Chordata; Mammalia; Carnivora; Herpestidae.
ACUGCUUCUCGGCCUUUUGGCUAAGAUCAAGUGUAGUAUCUGCUCUUAUCAGUUUAAAUACACAGAAAUGAGUAACAUAUAUACCCAAUUACAUAAGAAAUUCACCUAACUACCACACUGAUACCUGGGUUCAAGAUUGAAUCAAGGUUAUUUUACAUAUUAAUUCAUU